This 395-nucleotide ribosomal RNA is filed under the name uncultured bacterium. Its description in RNAcentral is "bacterial SSU rRNA". It matches the Rfam family "Bacterial small subunit ribosomal RNA", at positions 29 to 424 of the family's 1533-position model. The record is from RNAcentral.
AUUGAACGCUGGCGGCGUGCCUAACACAUGCAAGUCGAGCGGUAACAGGUGUAGCAAUACAUGCUGACGAGCGGCGAACGGGUGAGUAAUGCUUCGGAAUCUACCCAAUGGUGGGGAAUAACCAGCCGAAAGGUUGGCUAAUACCGCAUACGUCCCACGGGAGAAAGCAGGGGAUCGCAAGACCUUGCGCCAAUGGAUGAGCCGAAGUCGGAUUAGCUAGNGGUAGGGUAACGGCCUACCAAGGCGACGAUCCGUAGCUGGUCUGAGAGGACGACCAGCCACACUGGGACUGAGACACGGCCCAGACUCCUACGGGAGGCAGCAGUGGGGAAUAUUGGACAAUGGGGGAAACCCUGAUCCAGCGACGCCGCGUGUGUGAAGAAGGCCUGCGGGUU